CCUACGGGGGGCAGCAGUGGGGAAUAUUGCACAAUGGGGGAAACCCUGAUCCAGCAACGCCGCGUGAAGGAAGACGGUUUUCGGAUUGUAAACUUCUAUCAAUAGGGAAGAGAAAAAUGACGGUACCUAAAUAAAAAGCCCCGGCUAACUACGUGCAAGCAGCCGCGGUAAUACGUAGGGGGCAAGCGUUAUCCGGAUUUACUGGGUGUAAAGGGAGAGUAGGCGGCAAGAUAAGCCAUAUGUGAAAGCCUUAAGCUUAACUUAAGGAUGGCAUAACGAACUAUCUAGCUAGAGUACAGGAGAGGACAGCGGAAUUCCUAGUGUAGCGGUGAAAUGUGUAGAUAUUAGGAAGAACACCAGUGGCGAAGGCGGAUUUCUGGACUGAAACUGACGCUGAGGCUCGAAAGCGUGGGGAGCGAACAGGAUUAGAUACCCGGGUAGUC
Molecule: ribosomal RNA, 443 nt
Filed under: uncultured bacterium
Lineage: Bacteria
Description: partial 16S ribosomal RNA
Rfam family: Bacterial small subunit ribosomal RNA
Source: RNAcentral